GGCCGCCUGGCGAAAUGGCAUCGCGUCUGACUACGAUGAUAGUUGUAAUCAGGAGAUUGCAGGUUCGACCCCUGCGGUGGUCA
RNAcentral lists this transfer RNA (83 nucleotides) under Agaricus bisporus var. burnettii. It matches the Rfam family "tRNA". Rfam says of the family: Transfer RNA (tRNA) molecules are approximately 80 nucleotides in length. Their secondary structure includes four short double-helical elements and three loops (D, anti-codon, and T loops). The record is from Rfam by way of RNAcentral. RNAcentral also lists the same sequence under 2 other names. Lineage: Eukaryota; Fungi; Basidiomycota; Agaricomycetes; Agaricales; Agaricaceae.